UCAGUCGGCUGGACGGCCGCCCCGGCAAGGAUCGAAAGGUCGCCGGGGAGGAAAGUCCGGGCUCCAUCGACAUACGGUGCCGGAUAACGUCCGGCGGGGGCGACCCCAGGGAAAGUGCCACAGAGAACGAACCGCCCCGUUUCGACGGAGGUAAGGGUGAAAAGGUGCGGUAAGAGCGCACCGCGUUUCCGGCGACGGAGACGGCAUGGCAAACCCCACCGGGAGCAAAACCGAAUAGGGACAGCAUCGCGGAAAGUUCGCUCAACCGGGCGAUAACUCCGCAGGGCGAUGUCAAGCUCGCUGUCCGGGUAGGUUGCUUGAGGCGCCGGGCAACCGGCGUCCCAGAGGAAUGGCCGUCACGUCUGCGUGGUGCAAACCAUGCAGGCCCUACAGAACCCGGCUUACAGGCUGGCUGAUAUC
This 420-nucleotide RNase P RNA is filed under the name Afipia sp. Root123D2. RNAcentral describes it as "Bacterial RNase P class A". It matches the Rfam family "Bacterial RNase P class A". Rfam says of the family: Ribonuclease P (RNase P) is a ubiquitous endoribonuclease, found in archaea, bacteria and eukarya as well as chloroplasts and mitochondria. Its best characterised activity is the generation of mature 5'-ends of tRNAs by cleaving the 5'-leader elements of precursor-tRNAs. Lineage: Bacteria; Pseudomonadati; Pseudomonadota; Alphaproteobacteria; Hyphomicrobiales; Nitrobacteraceae. The record is from Rfam by way of RNAcentral.